This 119-nucleotide ribosomal RNA is filed under the name Pteropus alecto (black flying fox). The record is from RNAcentral. RNAcentral also lists the same sequence under 1 other name. Lineage: Eukaryota; Metazoa; Chordata; Mammalia; Chiroptera; Pteropodidae.
GUCUACAGCCAUGCUACCCUGAACACACCCGAUCCCGUCUGAUCUCAGAAACUAAGCAGGGUCUGGUCUGUUUAGUACUUGGAUGGGAGACCACCUAGGAAGACCAGGUGCUGUAGGGG